RNAcentral lists this transfer RNA (70 nucleotides) under Deltaproteobacteria bacterium. RNAcentral's name for it is "tRNA-OTHER". The record is from RNAcentral. Lineage: Bacteria; Pseudomonadati; Myxococcota; Myxococcia.
GUACCUGAAUACCUGCUAGCACAGUUUGCGGUACUGAGGGUCGCAGGUUCGACUCCUGCCGGGUGCGCCA